GGGGGGGGACGCAGGGAGCUAGGUCCGGGGGUCUAUACGACCCUCUAACGUGGUAGGGAGUCCUGACAGGCAAAUCCGUUGGGGCGAUGACCGAGAGCGGAGUGGAAGGUACGGCCUGCGGGCCAAGCCGGACGGAUUGACGCUGCACUGACGAGAAAAGCCUCUAGUGAGUAUAUGUGCGCCCGUACCGCAAACCGACACAGGUGGGCUGGUAGAGCAUACCGAGGUGGACGAGAGAACCCUUGUUAAGGAACUCGGCAAAUUGGCUCCGUAACUUCGGGAGAAGGAGCGCCCUGGUAGUGUGAAGGACUUCGCGUCCGGAGCAUGAGGGGGCCGCAGUGACCAGGCCCAGGCGACUGUUUACCAAAAACACCGGUCCCUGCAAACGCGAAUGAGCGUGGACGUAUAGGGGCUGAGACCUGCCCAGUGCCGGAAGGUUAAAGGGAGAUGUGCAAGCGUUGAACUGAAGCCCCGGUAAACGGCGGCCGUAACUAUAACGGUCCUAAGGUAGCGAAAUUCCUUGUCGGGUAAGUUCCGACCCGCACGAAAGGUAGAACGAUCUGGGCGCUGUCUCAACAGGGGACUCGGCGAAAUUGAAAGACCGGUGAAGAUACCGGUGACCCGCAGCAGGACAAAAAGACCUCGUGCAGCUUUACUCCAGCUUGUCGUUGGGUGCGUGAUUCGUUUGUGCAGGAUAGGUGGGAGCCUGGGAGCCGUUGGCGUCAGCGAGCGGGGAGGCGUUGGUGAGAUACCACCCUGACGGAUUGUGCAUUCUCACCCGGGCCAGAUAGCCUGGCAGGGGACAGCGGCUGGUGGGGAGUUUGACUGGGGCGGUCGCCUCCUAAAGAGUAACGGAGGCGCCCAAUGGUUCCCUCAGGCCGGAUGGCAAUCGGCCGGAGCGCGUAAGGGCAAAAAGGGAGCUUGACUGCGAGGCUGACACGCCGAGCAGUGACGAAAGUCGGGCCUAGUGAUCCCACGGUACCGAGUGGAAGAGCCGUGGCUUAACGGAUAAAAGCUACGCCGGGGAUAACAGGCUGAUCCUGCCCAAGAGCUCACAUCGACGGCAGGGUUUGGCACCUCGGUCGGCUCGUCGCAUCCUGGGGUCGGAGAAGGUCCCAAGGGUUGGGCUGUUCGCCCACUAAAGCGGUACGCGAGCUAGGUUCAGAACGUUGUGAGACAGUUCGGUCUCUAUCCGCUGUGGGCGUAGGAUGUUUGCGAGGGGCUGCCCCUAGUACGAGAGGACCGGGGUGGACGAACCGCUGGUGAGCCAGUUGUUGUGACAACAGCAUCGCUGGGUAGCUACGUUCGGACGAGCGAACCGCUGAAGGCAUCUAAGCGGGAAUCUUUCCUCAAGACGAGACAUCCCUGGAGCUUCGGCUCUGAGAGACCCCCAGGAGACCACUGGGUAGAUAGGUCGCGGGUGGACAGCUGGUAACAGACUGGAGCCGAGCGAUCCUAAUGGUUGAUAGA
This 1470-nucleotide ribosomal RNA is filed under the name metagenome. Its description in RNAcentral is "bacterial LSU rRNA". It matches the Rfam family "Bacterial large subunit ribosomal RNA", at positions 1464 to 2925 of the family's 2925-position model. The record is from RNAcentral.